AGGUUUCCCGAAAAUAACGUUCCCACAAAAGCUUAUAUAAGACACAUCUCUGGGCAUCCUUCCCUGCUGGGCAUCAUGUGCUUCAUCCUUCCCUUUGCAUUAAGGGCUGGAUUAAAAACACGGGGCUUUCUUCUGGUUUUAGGCAGGUGAUCCUGUGUGUGGCUUCUGAAGCAGCACCACCAAAGGAGGUAAAACAAAAGAUACUCAUUGAGAAGGCGAUGGUGAAGAGAGAAAUGGCGCUGGGGGUGCUUUUCGCUGUCACUCUGCCUCUUGGUUCAUAUGUAAAUUUUGGCCAUAGGCAGAGUUGGACACAAGCCAGGCCUUCUGGAGCCAGGAACAAAAAGGGGCAUUCCUGACUUUCUCCAGCCCAGCAGCACAGGAGAGAGCUGGCAGCUAUCAGUGACCUGCACAGGGAACGCCCUGGGAGCAGAGGCAAAGAAGAGGACGUCGAUCAGGUCGGAGGCUGGGCCACCCCGGUACUGCUUGAGUGCAGUUAGAGCUCUGCCAAAGAAGGGAAGAUCCAGGUUACAGGCACAGCAGGAGUUCUCUGGAGACUCCCAAGUGCCCAGAGACAAGCUGAUGGAAAAGGCCCCAGAGAGAACCCAGAGUAUUCCAGAGGCAAUGCAAUGGGACCAAACCACAGCCUGGAGGGGGAAAGGGAAGAGCAGGACCAGCCAGCAGGAGUGUCACUGACCAGGCCCAAAGCUGUUGGAGGGCAGCUCGGUGUCCGAGUCCCGCUUCCUGGGCUGGAAUGUCACGAGGAGAC
Molecule: long non-coding RNA, 766 nt
Organism: Pyrgilauda ruficollis (rufous-necked snowfinch)
Lineage: Eukaryota; Metazoa; Chordata; Aves; Passeriformes; Passeridae
Exons: 5
Source: RefSeq, a predicted model, not a curated record